AUACGGAGGGUGCAAGCGUUAAUCGGAAUUACUGGGCGUAAAGCGCUCGUAGGCGGCUUGUUAAGUCGGAUGUGAAAGCCCCGGGCUCAACCUGGGAACUGCAUUCGAUACUGGCAAGCUAGAGUAUAGUAGAGGCAAGUGGAAUUCCGGGUGUAGCGGUGAAAUGCGUAGAUAUCCGGAGGAACAUCAGUGGCGAAGGCGACUUGCUGGACUAAUUCUGACGCUGAGGAGCGAAAGCGUGGGUAGCAAACCGGAUUAGAAACCCUGGUAGUCC
Molecule: ribosomal RNA, 274 nt
Filed under: uncultured bacterium
Lineage: Bacteria
Description: partial 16S ribosomal RNA
Rfam family: Bacterial small subunit ribosomal RNA
Source: RNAcentral